RNAcentral lists this transfer RNA (91 nucleotides) under Felis catus (domestic cat). It matches the Rfam family "tRNA". Rfam says of the family: Transfer RNA (tRNA) molecules are approximately 80 nucleotides in length. Their secondary structure includes four short double-helical elements and three loops (D, anti-codon, and T loops). RNAcentral also lists the same sequence under 2 other names. Lineage: Eukaryota; Metazoa; Chordata; Mammalia; Carnivora; Felidae. The record is from Rfam by way of RNAcentral.
GUCUGGGUGGCUCAGUCGGUUGAGCAUCUGACUCUUGGUUUCGGCUCAGGUCGUGAUCCCAGGGUUGUGGGAUCAAGCCCCACAUCAGGCU